Paramisgurnus dabryanus is the source of this 2338-nucleotide non-coding RNA. Lineage: Eukaryota; Metazoa; Chordata; Actinopteri; Cypriniformes; Cobitidae. The record is from RefSeq and is a predicted model, not a curated record.
GGGGGAAUUUUUAUAUCCCCCAUCCAUCCGUUUGGCCCAAUGGCGAAGUCCAAACCGCAUGGGAAGGAUUGAUAGCGCGUUCGGUCUUUUCCGGAGCUUUGCAGAUGACGUUUUGGCGUUACGUAAUUUAGGUAUAUUUAUCUCUAAUCUGACUCCAAAGACAAAGAUUUAGUUUAUAUUAUAUUACAAAUUUGAUUGAUUAUUACUUUUAAAGCUUACAGAAUUUAGAUGGAUGUUUGUUUAUUUAUUCUGAUAAAGCUCUGGUAUUACACUCGUUCAUUCGGUUCUCACAGUCGCACAUGAUCCUAGUACGGGCCUCAUAAUUAAUAUACUGGUCAACGGUCGUAAGCGAAUCAGUGUUGGUCGCUGCCAGAGGUUGGACUAUACGCUUAAGCGGCCGCUUUCUGCGUGCUCAACUUUAAACAUACUUUAUUUAGUCCCCUUAGAGGUGACACUUAAUUAUUACAAUUAUUAUUUCUAAUCAAGAUUAAUGAAUAGAAUAACUUUGAAAUAAACAGAGGUUGAGGCUGACCCUAUUUAGAGUAAUCAGAAAUGUUACUCUAAACGGAAACACAGCCUCCACGCUUCUAAGUACACUUAAACUAACGCCAAUUGCUAUUCGUAUCUCACAAAUCCUCAGCUGAUGUAUUAUUCACUAUCUAACUGGGUUUGGGCCGAUCCUAGCCUGAUUUCAGUCCUUACGGUAACUACGGAUACAACGAUAUUACUUGCAGUGUCAACAUUUACCGAGCAACACAGAAUAAAAUCAAAUAUAACAAUUUAUUAACCAGGUAGGUAAAACAUAAUUCAGAAGCCAAUUUACAUUCCAAUUCGAAUACGAAAAUCAAACGAAAACCCAUUGCAUACCUGGUAAUGAGAUGAAGAUCUGGUUACAGAUUCCUCAAAGUAAAAUAAAAUACAUGAUGCUGUGCAAGGACAGCAUCAUGGGGGUGCAUUUCUCGAUAUUGAAAGUCCCCCCUAAAUCUUCUACACAUCUCCUUAAAUAACCAGAGAACAAAGCAUAUAGGAAUUUGGUACUGAUUGGUUGUUGGUAAAACUAAGGGCUGUCCUUAAUCUGUAUACAGUGGGUGAUUGGUUUAUGCUUAGAAUGGGAGGUGUCUAUCAACAUUGAAUGAAGUUUCACAUAUACUUUAACAUUGAAUUCUGUUGUUAUAUGAGUGAGACCUGUAACCACUUGCAAUGAGACAUUCCAAUAGAAAACAAAUAAGAUACAGAUUUUAGAUUCUUUGUGCAUGUAGCAUUUCAUAUACAGUUUGCUUUUAGAGAAAAGAAUACAAAUGUAUGACACCCUAAAGGUGUGUCUUUGAAACCCAAAUGUGUCUCAGUGGGAAGUCCACUGUGAAUCGUGGAGAGUGGCUUUUCCCGCGCACUCACUUUGCCCCCAUGCAGUGUCCUUUGGGGAGGUGCUAUCUUAUUUAGGAAAUUAUCUUACAGCUCCGCCGCUUGAUCAUAUCGGAGAACAUAACAGUCCCGAUGAGAUCAACAUAUAGUAAGAUGUUAGCUCUUGGUGGUGUCCAAUCUCUGUAGUGUUCGUAGUGUUCAAGUUCAGUGUGUCAACCAAGGCCUGCGUGCUUUGUUCAAUGAAUGUCCCAUUCUUUUGCGAAAAAACCACCUGUUUUUAGACGUUCUGUUCCUUUGAAGAAAGUUGUCACCUCUGAACGGUGAUCUCCUCUGAUUUCAGACAUCGUCAGGUGGGGAUCAUGUCAUUGACAAUACAUCACUGUGUGAAACACCUGCACAUCUUAAGGACCAUUCAUUGAUUGAACAUUGAUCAAUACUGAUAGACUCAGCAACAUUAUCAGGAGAUUCAUAGGGUAAACCAUAAAUAAAAUAAAUAAAAAACAUAGCACAUGAUACCUUGAUAUGGAAAGUGCAAGUGGUACGGUCUCACCAGGUCAAAUAUAUCUGAUCUAUAAAAUUACCAAUGUUCUUUCCCACUGUUGUAUUUGGAGUUUAGUUGAAUUUAAAUGUACUUGGUCUCUGGAUAUUGAAGAAGAAGAUGCAAAAGAUCAGGUUAAAACAACAAUGCAUAACAUUGAGGUAUGCAUAUUAUAAAAAUAAAACCCAGAAAAUAAAAUGUUAAAAUAACCUUGAGAUAUGCAUGUUACAGAUUGUAUGAAAAUAAAACCCAGGAAUGGUUAAAAUGAUCUUCAGGUAUGCAUGUUAUAGAUUGUAUGAAAAUAAACCCAGAAAAUGUAAAAAUAACCUUCUUCAGGUAUGCAUAUUGGGUCAUGUGAAAAUAAAAGAAAAUAAAAACCAGAAAGUGUUAAAUAACAUUCAGGUAUGCAUAUAUUGGGUCAUGUAAAAAAAAAAAUAA